AUCAGUGAUUCAGUCGAGCUUCUUAAACUGAAAUCGAUCGAAGUAAAUCUUCAAAAAAAUGAAACUCCAGCGGCCUAAGCCCUCUUUCACUCUCAACUCCAACGGCCCAACUCCCAAAGGCAUCUAUAAAUUUCACUUCUACUGAAACCCUAGUAGUCACACUCUCCUCUCACACUCUCUUAUCACUCUCUCAAUCUCUCUAUCACUCUCACCUACCAACGUUGUCCUCACCUCUCCCUCUCUCUCUCUCUCUCUCUCUCUCUCUCUCUCUCUCUCUUAGAUCGUAGAAGCUUCAUCACAUCUUAAAGGAGGAUGAGGAGGAGUGGGUUUGUCGCCUCACAUCUUGCAGAUCGUUGUCCUCUCUCUCUGUAGCAAAUCUUGCAUGCCUCAAAUUGAAAUCCUAACCCCAAAGGUGAGAGGGAAAAAGAAGAAGGAGGACAAAGAGGAUGAAGAGAUGGAGGUGAAAAACCCAGAAGCCACAGAUCUUCUUAGUUUCUUCCCCAUUCGCCAUGGAUCUCUUCCCCAUCCACCACAGAUCAGAUCGUUGUCCUCUUUCUCUGUUGCAUAUCUUGCAUGCCUUAAAUUGAAAAUCCAAACCCCAAAGGUGAGAGGGAAAAAGAAAGAGGAGGACGAAGAGGAUGAAGAGAUGGAUGCGAAAAAAUCAGAAGCCACAUAUCUUCUUAGUUUCUUCCCCAUUCGCCAUGGAUCUCUUCCCCAUCCACCACAGAUCAGAUCUUGCAUGCCUCAAAUUGAAAAUCCCAACCCCAAAGGCGAGAGGGAAAAAGAAAAAAGAGGAUGAAGAGAUGAAGGCGAAAAACCCAGAAACCACAUAUCAUCUUAGUUUCUUCCCCAUCCGCCAUGGAUCUCUUCCCCAUCCACCACAGAUCAAGUGCUCUAUAGAUCUGGUGUCUUCUUUAAUUUUUGUGUGAUUUUUUCUUGUUUUGUGAAUAUAUGAACUAUUCUUAUUCUUUGUUAUAUUUUGUGAGUUUUUUUUUCUAGAUUCAUCACUGAAAAGCUAAACCUUUCUCCCUCCUCACUUUUUUUUUCAUCGGAAACCAAUUAGCCAACUGAAUUGACCAGCUCUGGCAUUUUUUAGAUCCAACCAAACUGGAACUUUAAGCGGAUAGUGGCAGGCCUGGGUUUUUGGUGAUUUUCACCUGAUGAGACCGACGUUGAUGGUCCGAAACCGACCGUAACCAACCGAUGGACACCUCUAAUCAAAAUAACCAUCAUCGGUGUUCAAUUUUGUUCAUUUACUUCAAGCGGUUUUAAAAUGAAUCGAGACUUAUUUUCAACUGAUUCUUGAUCGUAUGGUCUUUUUCUCGCCUCUUAAUGAAUUAUACUCUUUUUCAGUUUUGCCUUAUUUAUUAUAUUACAAGUUUUCCAAUUUUCAUUAUUUCUUUCCUUUAUCUUAUUCAUUCAUCAUUUUGUCUCUUCACUCUUCACUUUUAGAUCCCAACAAUGAACGAUGACGUAAUUGAUUUUCUUUUUUUUUUGACAGUGACACCAUUGAUUUUUUUUUGGUUACAAGAGGAAAUUGACGCCAUUGAUUUAACCCAAGCAUAGGGUUGAGAAAGGGAGCUCCUUCAACAUAAGACUUUUUGCUGUUAAGUCGAAUCUACCCAACCGAGGAAGUGUAAUAGAAACAUCACCAUGAUGAUGAGUGAAUUGAAAAACAAAAAUCAUGGAUUCUCAAAGGAGGGACACGUUGUCGCAUCUACCAUCGCCACCACCAAAGACCACGAGGGGUGCACCUCCACUAAAACUUUUGCAUCGUGAAGGCAUGAGGAUACACCACAUAUUGAUCAAUUUUACCAUUUAUGUGCGAGGUAGUAGAGGGAGUUAUCAUUGUCUGAUUACGUUGAUGAUCGCUCUGGGAGGACCAUUGACUUUCUAUCACUAACGAACCUAAACCUCUCUCUUGUGUCAAGUUCAACCCUUGAACCUAAAAUCUUACGAAAUGAGUCAAAUGAGUGUGAAAGAUGAAGAGGUUGAAGGAAAGGGCAUAUUGAUUGGAAGCAACACGAUUGACUUGGAAUUGAAGCUCUAGUUAUGUAGGGAUGUGAGUUAAUUAAUUGUGUGAGACUUUACUAGGGUUGAUUUGUUUUCUUUCUAUGUUGUUUAAACUUUGAUGGAUAUCAAUCUAAUUUUUAUUGCUUUCAUUUUCAUUAA
This is a long non-coding RNA of Lotus japonicus, 2172 nucleotides long. RefSeq lists it as uncharacterized. The transcript has 5 exons. Lineage: Eukaryota; Viridiplantae; Streptophyta; Magnoliopsida; Fabales; Fabaceae. The record is from RefSeq and is a predicted model, not a curated record.